CGACGAAGAAUAAUAGCAUGAUUUAAGGGACCUAAGUAAAUAGCAUAUCCCAGUAAUAUAAUCAGUAUUGUGAGCCACCUAACUCUCUCAUUCAAAGCCAAGGUGUGGAGAUUCUUAAGAUCAAAGAUAAGUGGUCGGAAUUUCUUAAGAGGGCCGACCACGUGGGCAAGGGCUUUGUCGUUCAGACUUCGACCCUUCCCCAGAGCCUGAAGAUUUUCUUUAGAAAACAAAGUCAAUGCCACGACUGGACCUUUCAACACCACACCCAAAUGCUGCAACAGAUGAUAUCACUUUCCAGGGUAAACACAAGCAGUGUAUUCUGAGGCCAUUGGCCCGACUUCCCAGGUUGACUCAUCCUGCCUUCCAGCCUUGAAGGGCAAUAUCCUUACCAAUAUGUGAUCUGAAGGAGCUCUGAACCCUCCAGUGAGACAUCAGCCCAUCAGACUCACACAGAACAGCAGGAAGGCCAAAGACUCAAGAUUUAUCUAUCCUUGAAUUAUUCAGUGAUGCUGAUUACAGUAGGCCUCCGUUAUACGAAGGGAAAACAUCCCAAGACCCCCAGUGAAUGCCUGAAACUGGAUGCUACUGAACCCUGAGACGGUACUAAGUGACUAACGGGUGAAUAGCGUGUAAAGCAUGGAUACACUAGACAAAGGGAGGAUUCACAUCCCGGGCUGGUCAGCAAGAGGUUUCAUCACCCCACUCAAAACGGCAGGACCGUAUGAACCUGAAUCCACAGAAAUGGCUCAUCAGUCUCCAAUCCUCUGAUUUUCUAAACCAGGACUACAUUAUAUUAAAACCAGAAAAAGCAAUACCUCUUUUCACAGAAUGGACUUUCUGGUGGAAAUGGGAGGAACCAAAAGAAGGCUGACUUCUUCAUUUUGACACCCUGCCCUGACUGCAGAACGUGAUUUCCCUAAAAGACUGAAUGUUAACCUCAAAGCCUGAUCAACCAACAUGCAGGAGAAAUCUUGACCAAGGCUCUGAGCAUGCUGUGGUCCCAAUGGUGAGGGUGUGAUAUGCACUGUCUGUUCCUGGAGUCACAGUGCUCAUCUUGUGGUAAAGACCUCUUGGAAGAAUGUCUUCAAAGGCACAUCUCCAGCUGGGAGUCCUUGUUUCCUGAUUUUUUUUUUUAAGUUUAUGUUAUAUGAACAAAUGAGACUGCUUUCCCGGCAGGAGUAGCCCUCGGACGCCCACUGUGAGCCUACUUUCUGGAAGAAGCCAACUCAGACAGACCACAGUGUGUGCACAGCAUAUGUGGCUGCUGGCUGUGGAUGAGAAAGUAUUCCUGAUCUGUCAGAAUAAUGAUUUCAGCGUGUUCUCAGCAGGUCCUCAGUGUGAUCCCAUGAGGAUACCCUCAACCCCUUGCAUGACAUGUUGUACUUGGAGUCCUUCCCCAUUUCAAUUUCAGCAUCAGUGGGAGGGAAAUAGCAAAACAGCAUUCCUUCAUGUAGAUAACCAGUAGGCAGCAGGCUACUCCUGGUUUGUAACAUAACUCCACCAGUGUAUUCUGGCAGCCGGGCUUACUUAAGGGAGAGCACAGACAUUCCCUGCUCAAAAACAAAACUGCUAAACGUGACUCCGGUAGCCUCCGUGCUCUCUGCAAGAAUAAAAUCCUUGAGGAAAAAUUGUGAUAAGAAGUCUGUCUUUGGAGUCAGCCUGAGCACAAUCUUGCAUCUCCAGUUACCACCUGGGUGGCUUUAUUCAUUUAAGAAAUACCUGUAGGAUACAUACUACAUGGCAGGCAUGCUUCUCAGAUGUUAGCUCAUCUUGCUAAGCCUGCUGUAUCUUCAUCUAAACAGUGAGGAUAACACUAUGUACCUCCUAGGGCCAUGUGAGGAAAAAGUGAGAUAAUGUGUAUAAAGCUCAUAGCACAGGGCUCGUAGAGAGGACGUGCACAGUUAGUGUUGGCUGUGGCAGGUAUUAUUCCCUUUACCCCAGCCUAUGCCAUCCUUGCCACCCCAUCAGGAGCUCCUGAUGACGCCAGCACCUCUUGCCGAGCCCUCAUCUGGGGCAGCGUUCACCUUUAACUUUUUAUUCCUCUUGGCUUUAUUUGAUAUUCAUUGACCUGGAGCUACCCACACCAGGGGGCAGCAUAAAUAAUGGCAGAAGUCACAGUCUCUGCCCUGGCUUCACACCUCCUCUUGGUAUCAGCUGUUCACCAUGCUCUUCCUACUGACUCUCUGUAGGACCAGCACCAACACUAUGUCUUAAUCUGAUACACACACACACACACACACACACACACACACACGACACUAUAAACAGUAUAUAUGCAAAACUAUAUAUAUUACUAUGUAUCUAAUAAAUGAAACU
Gorilla gorilla gorilla (western lowland gorilla) is the source of this 2316-nucleotide long non-coding RNA. RefSeq lists it as uncharacterized. The record is from RefSeq and is a predicted model, not a curated record. The transcript has 3 exons. NCBI's taxonomy places the organism in Eukaryota, Metazoa, Chordata, Mammalia, Primates, Hominidae.